Molecule: small RNA, 83 nt
Filed under: Olleya aquimaris
Lineage: Bacteria; Pseudomonadati; Bacteroidota; Flavobacteriia; Flavobacteriales; Flavobacteriaceae
Description: Olleya sp. L-4 Flavo-1 RNA
Rfam family: Flavo-1 RNA
Source: Rfam by way of RNAcentral
GUAUUGCGUUAGCGGUAGAAGUGACAUCCUUUUUUUGCUGCCAUAUAUGGCAAAAAAAGAUAUAACGGAUGACGCGACCCUUG